Molecule: ribosomal RNA, 476 nt
Filed under: uncultured bacterium
Lineage: Bacteria
Description: bacterial SSU rRNA
Rfam family: Bacterial small subunit ribosomal RNA
Source: RNAcentral
GAUGAACGCUAGCGGCAGGCCUAAUACAUGCAAGACGAACGGUAAGUUGAGUAGCAAUACUUAGCCAAGAGUGUCGUACGGGUGCGUAACACGUAUGCAACCUACCCUAUACAGGAGGAUAGCCUAGGGAAACCUGGAUUAACCCUUCAUAGUAUUAUUGGAUGGCAUCAUUUGAUAAUUAAAACUGAGGUGGUAUAGGAUGGGCAUGCGUCUGAUUAGUUAGUUGGCGGGGUAAUGGCCCACCAAGACGAUGAUCAGUAGGGGUUCUGAGAGGAAGAUCCCCCACACUGGCACUGAGAUACGGGCCAGACUCCUACGGGAGGCAGCAGUAGGGAAUAUUGGGUCAAUGGAUGCAAGUCUGAACCAGCCAUGCCGCGUGCAGGAAGAAGGGCCUUCUGGGUUGUAAACUGCUUUUGAUUGGGAACAGAUGACUCUUGCGAGAGUAGCUGAGUGUACCAAUAGAAUAAGCCACGGCU